Molecule: ribosomal RNA, 603 nt
Filed under: Triticum aestivum (bread wheat)
Lineage: Eukaryota; Viridiplantae; Streptophyta; Magnoliopsida; Poales; Poaceae
Description: partial small subunit ribosomal RNA
Source: RNAcentral
AUGUAUUUUGCUGCUGUAGCACAACCCUCUUUUGUUGGAUAUUAUUCGAAGAAGGAUUGGCCGGUGCUCCCGGCUGGCAUCAAGUUCGAUCCCACGGAUCAAGAGCUGAUCGAGCACCUUGAGGCCAAAGUGAGUGCUGACAGCGCGAUAUUUCAGUCUCUCAAUGAUUUGUUCAUACCAACCAUCGACAGCGAGAACGGCAUAUGCUACACCCAACCUAAGAAACUUCCAGCGCAAUUCCAGGCGUUCAAAAGGAGCACGUGGACGCGUCGCAAGAUACAAUCGGAGUGUGGCAUGCACGCGAUGUGGCAUAAGACCGGCAAUAUCUUACCGGUGAUGGUCAACGGCCGGCAGACGGGCAGCAAAAAAGGUUCUGGUGCUGCAGACCAACAAGAACUUCGACCAGCAGAGGACCAACUGGGUGAUGCACCAGUACCACCUCGGGGGCCUGGAGCAAGAGAAGGAGCGGGAGCUGGUCGAGCAAGUUUCAACUGGGCUGUAGACUGCCCAGGGUUGGUUUUGUUUUUACCAGGCCCAGCCCAUGAUGACAACGGGGCACAAAGAUCCAGCAGUAUCUACUGGCCUCUAGCCCACCAGCAUUAG